AGGGGGAAAACAAUUGGAAACAGAUGCUAAUACCGCAGAACAACGUUGUUCGCAUGAACGACGCUUAAUAAAUGGCUUCUCGCUAUCACUUCUGGAUGGACCUGCGGUGCAUUAGCUUGUUGGUGGGGUAACGGCCUACCAAGGCGAUGAUGCAUAGCCCAAUUGAGAGACUGAUCGGCCACAAUGGGACUGAGACACGGCCCAUACUCCUACGGGAGGCAGCAGUAGGGAAUCUUCCACAAUGGGCGCAAGCCUGAUGGAGCAACACCGCGUGAGUGAAGAAGGGUUUCGGCUCGUAAAGCUCUGUUGUUAAAGAAGAACACGUAUGAAAGUAACUGUUCAUACCUUGACGGUAUUUAACCAGAAAGUCACGGCUAACUACGUGCCAGCAGCCGCGGUAAUACGUAGGUGGCAAGCGUUAUCCGGAUUUAUUGGGCGUAAAGAGAGUGCAGGCGGUUUUCUAAGUCUGAUGUGAAAGCCUUCGGCUUAACCGGAGAAGUGCAUCGGAAACUGGAUAACUUGAGUGCAGAAGAGGGUAGUGGAACUCCAUGUGUAGCGGUGGAAUGCGUAGAUAUAUGGAAGAACACCAGUGGCGAAGCGGCUACCUGGUCUGCAACUGACGCUGAGACUCGAAAGCAUGGGUAGCGAACAGGAUUAGAUACCCUGGUAGUCCAUGCCGUAAACGAUGAGUGCUAGGUGUUGGAGGGUUUCCGCCUUCAGUGCCGGAGCUAACGCAUAAGACUCCGCCUGGGGAGUACGACACCACGUGAAACUCAAAGAACUAGACGGGGCCGCACAACGGUGCAGCAUGUGGUUUAUCAACUACGCAAUACUACAC
Molecule: ribosomal RNA, 838 nt
Filed under: Limosilactobacillus fermentum
Lineage: Bacteria; Bacillati; Bacillota; Bacilli; Lactobacillales; Lactobacillaceae
Description: bacterial SSU rRNA
Rfam family: Bacterial small subunit ribosomal RNA
Source: RNAcentral